RNAcentral lists this ribosomal RNA (2928 nucleotides) under Bacillus tropicus. Its description in RNAcentral is "23S ribosomal RNA". It matches the Rfam family "Bacterial large subunit ribosomal RNA". Lineage: Bacteria; Bacillati; Bacillota; Bacilli; Caryophanales; Bacillaceae. The record is from RNAcentral.
UUUGGUUAAGUUAGAAAGGGCGCACGGUGGAUGCCUUGACACUAGGAGUCGAUGAAGGACGGGACUAACGCCGAUAUGCUUCGGGGAGCUGUAAGUAAGCUUUGAUCCGAAGAUUUCCGAAUGGGGAAACCCACCAUACGUAAUGGUAUGGUAUCCUUAUCUGAAUACAUAGGGUAAGGAAGACAGACCCAGGGAACUGAAACAUCUAAGUACCUGGAGGAAGAGAAAGCAAAUGCGAUUUCCUGAGUAGCGGCGAGCGAAACGGAACAUAGCCCAAACCAAGAGGCUUGCCUCUUGGGGUUGUAGGACAUUCUAUACGGAGUUACAAAGGAACGAGGUAGACGAAGCGACCUGGAAAGGUCCGUCGUAGAGGGUAACAACCCCGUAGUCGAAACUUCGUUCUCUCUUGAAUGUAUCCUGAGUACGGCGGAACACGUGAAAUUCCGUCGGAAUCUGGGAGGACCAUCUCCCAAGGCUAAAUACUCCCUAGUGAUCGAUAGUGAACCAGUACCGUGAGGGAAAGGUGAAAAGCACCCCGGAAGGGGAGUGAAAGAGAUCCUGAAACCGUGUGCCUACAAAUAGUCAGAGCCCGUUAACGGGUGAUGGCGUGCCUUUUGUAGAAUGAACCGGCGAGUUACGAUCCCGUGCGAGGUUAAGCUGAAGAGGCGGAGCCGCAGCGAAAGCGAGUCUGAAUAGGGCGUUUAGUACGUGGUCGUAGACCCGAAACCAGGUGAUCUACCCAUGUCCAGGGUGAAGUUCAGGUAACACUGAAUGGAGGCCCGAACCCACGCACGUUGAAAAGUGCGGGGAUGAGGUGUGGGUAGCGGAGAAAUUCCAAUCGAACCUGGAGAUAGCUGGUUCUCCCCGAAAUAGCUUUAGGGCUAGCCUUAAGUGUAAGAGUCUUGGAGGUAGAGCACUGAUUGGACUAGGGGUCCUCAUCGGAUUACCGAAUUCAGUCAAACUCCGAAUGCCAAUGACUUAUCCUUAGGAGUCAGACUGCGAGUGAUAAGAUCCGUAGUCAAAAGGGAAACAGCCCAGACCGCCAGCUAAGGUCCCAAAGUGUGUAUUAAGUGGAAAAGGAUGUGGAGUUGCUUAGACAACUAGGAUGUUGGCUUAGAAGCAGCCACCAUUUAAAGAGUGCGUAAUAGCUCACUAGUCGAGUGACUCUGCGCCGAAAAUGUACCGGGGCUAAAUACACCACCGAAGCUGCGGAUUGAUACCAAUGGUAUCAGUGGUAGGGGAGCGUUCUAAGGACAGUGAAGUCAGACCGGAAGGACUGGUGGAGUGCUUAGAAGUGAGAAUGCCGGUAUGAGUAGCGAAAGACGGGUGAGAAUCCCGUCCACCGAAUGCCUAAGGUUUCCUGAGGAAGGCUCGUCCGCUCAGGGUUAGUCAGGACCUAAGCCGAGGCCGACAGGCGUAGGCGAUGGACAACAGGUUGAUAUUCCUGUACCACCUCUUUAUCGUUUGAGCAAUGGAGGGACGCAGAAGGAUAGAAGAAGCGUGCGAUUGGUUGUGCACGUCCAAGCAGUUAGGCUGAUAAGUAGGCAAAUCCGCUUAUCGUGAAGGCUGAGCUGUGAUGGGGAAGCUCCUUAUGGAGCGAAGUCUUUGAUUCCCCGCUGCCAAGAAAAGCUUCUAGCGAGAUAAAAGGUGCCUGUACCGCAAACCGACACAGGUAGGCGAGGAGAGAAUCCUAAGGUGUGCGAGAGAACUCUGGUUAAGGAACUCGGCAAAAUGACCCGUAACUUCGGGAGAAGGGGUGCUUUCUUAACGGAAAGCCGCAGUGAAUAGGCCCAAGCGACUGUUUAGCAAAAACACAGCUCUCUGCGAAGCCGUAAGGCGAAGUAUAGGGGGUGACACCUGCCCGGUGCUGGAAGGUUAAGGAGAGGGGUUAGCGUAAGCGAAGCUCUGAACUGAAGCCCCAGUAAACGGCGGCCGUAACUAUAACGGUCCUAAGGUAGCGAAAUUCCUUGUCGGGUAAGUUCCGACCCGCACGAAAGGUGUAACGAUUUGGGCACUGUCUCAACCAGAGACUCGGUGAAAUUAUAGUACCUGUGAAGAUGCAGGUUACCCGCGACAGGACGGAAAGACCCCGUGGAGCUUUACUGUAGCCUGAUAUUGAAUUUUGGUACAGUUUGUACAGGAUAGGCGGGAGCCUUUGAAACCGGAGCGCUAGCUUCGGUGGAGGCGCUGGUGGGAUACCGCCCUGACUGUAUUGAAAUUCUAACCUACGGGUCUUAUCGACCCGGGAGACAGUGUCAGGUGGGCAGUUUGACUGGGGCGGUCGCCUCCUAAAGUGUAACGGAGGCGCCCAAAGGUUCCCUCAGAAUGGUUGGAAAUCAUUCGUAGAGUGCAAAGGCAUAAGGGAGCUUGACUGCGAGACCUACAAGUCGAGCAGGGACGAAAGUCGGGCUUAGUGAUCCGGUGGUUCCGCAUGGAAGGGCCAUCGCUCAACGGAUAAAAGCUACCCCGGGGAUAACAGGCUUAUCUCCCCCAAGAGUCCACAUCGACGGGGAGGUUUGGCACCUCGAUGUCGGCUCAUCGCAUCCUGGGGCUGUAGUCGGUCCCAAGGGUUGGGCUGUUCGCCCAUUAAAGCGGUACGCGAGCUGGGUUCAGAACGUCGUGAGACAGUUCGGUCCCUAUCCGUCGUGGGCGUAGGAAAUUUGAGAGGAGCUGUCCUUAGUACGAGAGGACCGGGAUGGACGCACCGCUGGUGUACCAGUUGUUCUGCCAAGGGCAUAGCUGGGUAGCUAUGUGCGGAAGGGAUAAGUGCUGAAAGCAUCUAAGCAUGAAGCCCCCCUCAAGAUGAGAUUUCCCAUAGCGUAAGCUAGUAAGAUCCCUGAAAGAUGAUCAGGUUGAUAGGUUCGAGGUGGAAGCAUGGUGACAUGUGGAGCUGACGAAUACUAAUAGAUCGAGGACUUAACCAUAUAA